GUGCUUGCUUCAGCAGCACAUAUACUAAAAUUGGAAUGAUACAGAGAAGAUUAGCAUGACCCCUGCGCAAGGAUGACACACAAAUUUGAAGCAUUCCAUAUUUUU
Otolemur garnettii (small-eared galago) is the source of this 105-nucleotide small nuclear RNA. The record is from Ensembl. Lineage: Eukaryota; Metazoa; Chordata; Mammalia; Primates; Galagidae.